CCCGAACGGUGGAUCACUCGGAUCGCGGAU
RNAcentral lists this ribosomal RNA (30 nucleotides) under Bemisia tabaci. Its description in RNAcentral is "partial 5.8S ribosomal RNA". The record is from RNAcentral. Lineage: Eukaryota; Metazoa; Arthropoda; Insecta; Hemiptera; Aleyrodidae.